UUGCUAGAACAAGUUUUAUUCCCACUCAUUCAUCUUAGAUGCAUUUUUAAAUUUGGUAUUAAUGUAAGUGAAGCUAUGCAUCUUCUUUCCUUCUCUCUUAGGUGAGCCUCCAAAGAUUUAUUUUUGUUGGAAAAACUAGCAUUCAGUUCUCAAGGCAUGAGCUGGUGUUCCAUUUGAUGAAAAUGAAGUGCCUGGUGGCAAUCUGGCCCAGCACACCCUGCUCCCACUGGAACAGGAUUUGGGGUUUCUUUUCCAGGACCUGUCUGAGCAACUCUGAGCUGAGCAAAAACUUCUCCAGCUUCAUGUGAUAUAAAAUCUGGCCAGAUCUGUGGGGAAAACCUACUUAUGUGGGAACCUUAGGUGAGGAGCUUUUUAAAAGGCAGAGUGCACUGAGUCAGUGCUGCUGUGGUAGAUGUUUUCGCCCAUAUCUGCUAUGUAAGAAGAGGGUAGAAAGGACCAGAGCAGGCUCUAGGUUUCACAAGGUUUCAUCUUGUUUCUACAGCAUACUGUCAUUUGUCUACCAAGAAAAAAUGCUGAUAGGCCAGAUAUUGCAAGCCCAUUUAUUAGUGAAUUGCUCUAAUUUCUGAGUGCCAAGCAAAGAUACCUCCCCACCAUACCCAGCGUCCAGCAGUGUUUCAGUAUCAAAACUGAGCAUGGACCUGGCUGAAACCUGUGCUACUCUCUGCUACUGAAUUUCUGUGGUCAGCAAAUACACAGCAAGUGGUGACAACGCUGAAUCAGUGGCAGCCCCUGGAUGAGGCACUGGAACAGGUUCCCCUGAGAAGCUGUGGAUGUCCCAUGCCUAGAAGUGUUCAAGGUCAGGUUGGAUGGUGCUUGGGACAACUUGGUUGAGUGGAAGGUGUCCCUGCCCACUGUGGGGGUUGGAAUGAGAUCAUCUUUAGGAGCCCUCCCAACUCAAACCAUUCUAGGAUUCUGUGACUCCCAUCCCUCCUCUAUCCCAUGGUAACAAAUGCUACAGACUAAUCCCUGUGUAAAUAACUCCAUAUUUCUGACCAGAGGUUUUGCUCUGAAGAAGGCACCCUGAGCACCGGAUCAGUGUGAUCCUUGGCACAUGGAACACUGCAUCCUCAGCUCACCUUAAAUGUCACGUUAUCUGUGUUUUAGACCUGUACCACAUGCCACACAGCUCUCGGCUCGUGGAAACUCCAGUGAGCUUCCUUAGACCCAACAUUAAAUUUGGCCCAGUGCUGCAAAGUCCAAGUCCCUGUCAGUUCCUGAUACUCUCUUGUCAUUGGGAGUUCCUGUAGAAAUUUAGUACCUGAAUAGCCCAAUAUUUGGGCUUAAAGCCCCUGACUUUUCUGCACAUAUUUAUACCUAGUAGCCAGUCUUUAGUCACCUAGUUCUCUCUUUGGUAAUGCAGCUCCCAUUAAUAGCAGGUGAAUCUCAGAUAAGACCCACUUACAUUAGAAGUCUGGAGAAAAAACAGUGUAAUGAAAAGAAACUGGCACUCACAGCAUGUGAUUCUUCUGUAUGAUCUACCACGGAUAAACUGUGUCUUAAGAGUGCCCAUUUGUCAGAGAAUUCUCCAAUUUUGGAAAUUAGGUAUCAUUACCAACAUCUGUUAUACCUUGCGACACUGAGCAGACCUCCAGUCUUUCAUAAUAUGUUCCCUAAUGCCAAUUAAAACUAAUGACUUGACAUUUUGAAAAGCCUUUUGACUCUUUAAUAUCUUUUUAACACCUGGCCUUUAAGGAAUCUUCUUUCAGACUGUAUCACUGAAAGCACCUUGUUCAGAGAAGCUCAUACUAAAAAGGAAUUAAAAACAUGCUAUGGUGUGGGGGUUUUUGUUCAAAUCCUUCUCAUAACUAGGCAGAACUGCUGAUCUGUAGAAAAAGGUGUGCUGAUUUUGAAUGGGAUAAGAGUUAAUUUAUUUCACAGACGCUGGUACAGGGCCGUGUUUUGGUUUUGUGCUGGAGACAUUGAUUACAUGGGGCUGUGUUUGUUACUGCUGAGCAGCUCUUACAUACCACUGAGGCCUUUUCUGCUCCUUACUCCACCUGCAAGUGGGCUGAGGUUGCACAAGAACCUGUGAGGCGACAGAGCCAGGACACUGACCCCAAGUGACCAGAGGCAUAUUCCAUAGCAUAUCGCAUCAUGCUCCGUAUAUAAAACAGCGGGGAGAAGAAGGAAGGGGGAGGACAUUCAGAGUGAUGUCCUUCACGGUGUUGGUGGAGGUCCACUCCUUGUUGGUGUUUACAAAAGACUGGAGCUGGUACUUAGAAGCAUGCUCCAACUGCCUUGGUGGUGUCUGCUCCAAGGCUGGACUCUGACCUCAGGUCUGUUCCAACCCAGCUGGUUCUGUGAUCUGUGAUUCCGUUUGUCUGACCGAGUCACUGUUAACAUGCCCUGCUCUCCUGGGGAUGGCUGAACACCUGCCUGGCCAUGGGAAGUGGUGAAUGAAUUCCUAGUGUUGCUUUGAUUGCAUGUGCAGCUUUUGUUUUACCUAUUAAACGGAAUUUUCUGAUUCUCUCCUCCACUUACAGGAGGAGGAGUGCAUGAGAGGCUGGGUGGGCCUGAUGGUUGAUGUUAAACCACAACAGGAUGUAGAUGAGAAAAUAAAGGAGAUGAGUAUCAGACACACUAGGGAUGUCUCCUGGAAACAGUAAGAUAAAGCAACAAUGAAAUGGAGAACAGCAAGACUGCAAGCUGUGGGAGCAGCAGGCACUGAGGUCUCUGGUUGGGUGGUUCGCUCAACCUUUCUUGCAACAAAAGAAUGAAGUGACUUAGGAGCAGUUUCUGCUUCACAAGAACUUGGCACCAUAUUUUACAGCAAACUUGCACAACACUGGCACCACAAAAAGGAAAGAUUUUACACUAGCUCCUGUGGAGCCUAGGGAGAGUUUUGUUACUUUUAUGCAGCAUGGACGAGUGAAAACCAGCAGCAAACAGCUAACAGCUCUUGCUGAAGAGCUUUUUCUGUCUCUUAUUCCAGAAUAAGCAAAGACAUCCUGCAAAUCCCAAGCAUCUGGUCUGCUGGAAGACAGGGUCUGCUGUGCUGACUUGCAAGGUAGGAUUAGCAGGAGGGGAGCUGGUUGUGGACAGCAUUUGAAUAGGUGGGUGUAGCCUGGGCAAAGGGCUGCAUGAGUAACAGGAUCUGCUGCCUACUCUGAUAUGAUUGUUCUUCUCAUCUUGCUGUAUUUUCCUCAACAUCUAUCCAAUUUCAAGUAGGAACUUGCUUCAAUUAUGCUUUGUACAAGGUUUCCAUAAAUGGUGUCUUAGCAUAUCAGUGAAACAUCAAUGAGCUGGAAAAACAAGCUGGUUCAUUACCAUGCAAAUAAGCUCACUCUUCAUGAAAGAAAAGCUUUCACUAGCUCAUUGUAUCUCAAAUACUCCAAUUUCUUCCAUGUCCUGAAAAUAACAUUUUUAUAGGUCAAAGACACAUGUAUGUGUGUAUGUACGUGUAUGUCUCUCCCCCGCUGUGUUUCGCUCAUUCCUGUGCAUACUCUACUUGUAUGUGAAUUCUAAAUUCUCCCUGGGUGACAGUAGACAAGGAAGACCAGAUAAAGUUAUUCCACUAUUUCUGGUAUCUUUCAGUGUCAAAGACAGUGUUUGUACAAUAGAAAAAUAGCUCAUUAAGAGGCCUAAAGAGCUGUUAAUUUAUCUGCAAAGAUCUGCUCUAGUAGCAGUUCUGGUGAACUGUCCCAUGUCCCAUACACACAGUUGUAUUACAAAGGCCCCAGCCAGUGCUAGAGCAGAGCCCUUCAGUUCUUUCCCUCUGUGCUAUUUGGGAUGAGGUACAGCUGCCUGGGAGGAAAGGAGGUACAGUGGCACAGCUGUAGAGUUAGAGGGUUUGUGUAUUGGAUGUGCCAGUGGGUGGUUGUAGAGGUGUAUCUGUGUUAUGUAUUUUCACCUCUGUGUAAAUGUGUUACUAAAUCCCUAGACACACAGAAAUCCCUCAGUGGUGAAGUGCUGAACCUAGCAGAGUACUCUGGAAAUGCAGAAAUGUAUUUGAGCCACACUCUUUACCUUCUCCAUACUGACCAUUGUUGGAGAUAGGUUACGUUCAAGGAUAGACUCCUGGCUAGAGUCUGUCUGUCCAUUCUUAUGCUUUCUUCUUCUACUUUGUUACAAUGUGUUUGGGAUUCUAAUUAUAUAGGGAUUUUUUUUGUCUUUUUUUUUUUUUUUUUUUCAGUCUUCUGAAGGAAAAUAGAUAGUGCCAAAGGGUUGUUGGGAGGAAGAUCCUUGUAUAAACCAGCAAGGUGGCUAUGAAUAUAAUAAACGCUUUAUUGCAUUUUUCUAUCUUAACUAAGUUGACAUGCUGGCCAGGAAAUAUCUACUGCCACUGCAGUUUCCAUUCUGACAUUCUGUGUGGAUAAUGAGCUGGAUUUAGAGAAAAAUAAAUCAUGUAGUAGAAGAGGUUCAGAUCCAUGCAAAGAAGCUGUAGAUGAAAUAAUGUGUCACCAUUCAAAGCCCAUGUUUACUAAUAAAAGACUUGUUUUUCCCUGAAGACAAGUUUAGUGAGAAAAGUAACAGACAAAAGUUCCUCUUGCAUCUGAAAAUAAAUAAGUAUUUUGUUCUGAGAACUCUGGAUUCUUCUCAUGACCCAGAGUUAAUCAGCAACAGAGAUUUCCUGGAGGAAGAGUUCAUUUCAAUUUCUACAUGCACGGGAGUGCAAGGUUUGACAAGGUUUGAGGGAGUGAUGUCAAGUCAACGCUCUAGUUUAGCAGUGAGUAAUCAGACACCAUCUGACAAUGUCCCAAAUCUAUAAAUUACACUGCAGUUGUUCCCUGCUAGCAUAAAGACAAACAAGUGUAAGUUAACCUCAGUGUUCCUACUGCUCAGGAUUGAGGGCAACAGAAGAGAAACAUGGAAGAGCUGCUGCUGCCAGCAAUCUGUACUGCCUCGGUGCACGCUGGGGGAAGAAGAGUCCACUUCUGCACCGAGGUGAUUACCAGAACCACCCCUCAGAAACAGGUCUCAGCCAAAAACUCAUCUGCAGAGUCUGGAAUUACUCCCUUAGCCACAAUGGUCCCAGACAUACAGAACAAGCAAAAGCAGAGGUUUGCCCAGCCAUUAGACUCUCUCAUACCAAAACCUCUGCUGGAACUUGAAAUCCCAUUGAUACCACCAUCAGUUUGGUUUGCUGCUUUACUGACUCACAUUCAUCAGACAGAAACAACAGAAAUUGCUUUCUUUUCAAGACCUCCUCAAACACAGUCCUUCCUCCUUAAUGUGCUAGGCCCUUGUUUCUCUGUUUCUUUCCAUUCAAGAAAGAUAAAAAUCCAGCCAAGGAAAAAGGAUGGGACAGAUAAUCGGGCUGCACCAAUACAUCUUCAUAUGAAGAAAGAAGAAAUAAAACUUCACAGUUUCUUCUAAGAAACUAGACCAUAGAAGCUGUUAUAUACUAUCCUGGAAUACUGGAUAGAUACCAAAUAAAAAUUGUCUCAACAAGUCUGCAUUUGCAGCAUGGAAAAAGAAGGAAGCUGCAUAAUUCAAUAUUUUACAGUUUACAAAAAUGUGAAAUGUUUUGACUCCAAAUCAAAUUCUUUGGCUUUUUGCCAUUUAUCAAGUAUUCUGCUGAUAUCACUUAAGACAAUUUAAUGACAACAAGAAUGUUUACAGAAAGAAGCGAUGCUGGCUUUCAUUCACUGGGAAAUCAACUUUGCUGUUGAAAAAUUAUGAAACUGUAUACAAAAGAUUUUUCAUUAAUAUAAAUAAUGUAUUAUACUUAGGCAAAUAUACUUUAGAUUAUCCAUUUAACAAUAAUAUGUUAUGUUGCAAAAUAAAUGAUAAUGUACCUUGAAAA
Molecule: non-coding RNA, 5767 nt
Organism: Taeniopygia guttata (zebra finch)
Lineage: Eukaryota; Metazoa; Chordata; Aves; Passeriformes; Estrildidae
Source: RefSeq, a predicted model, not a curated record